UACGUAGGGGGCAAGCGUUGUCCGGAUUUACUGGGCGUAAAGAGCGUGUAGGCGGCCACGCAGGUCCGUUGUGAAAACUGAAGGCUCAACCUCCAGACGUCGACGGAAACCGUAUGGCUAGAGUCCGGAAGAGGAGAGUGGAAUUCCUGGUGUAGCGGUGAAAUGCGCAGAUAUCAGGAAGAACACCAGUGGCGAAGGCGGCUCU
Molecule: ribosomal RNA, 205 nt
Filed under: uncultured bacterium
Lineage: Bacteria
Description: partial 16S ribosomal RNA
Rfam family: Bacterial small subunit ribosomal RNA
Source: RNAcentral